Long non-coding RNA from Haliotis rubra (blacklip abalone), 129 nucleotides. RefSeq lists it as uncharacterized. Lineage: Eukaryota; Metazoa; Mollusca; Gastropoda; Lepetellida; Haliotidae. The transcript has 3 exons. The record is from RefSeq and is a predicted model, not a curated record.
ACAAGUGCCGACAAAAACACUUAAUAUACUGAGGGAUCAAAUAAGGGAACGCCACUUCAUGACAGUGUUCCUUUAUUUAUUCUCAGAUUUCCUUCCCCGGGGCUAUUCAAAGCUGGUGAUGAAACUGGA